AACGCAUAUUGCACUCUCUGGCAUUCCGGAGAGUAUGCCUGUUUCAGUAUCAUAGAUCAGAUUCAAAUCUCUUUCUUUUUUUGAAGGGAGGUUUGGAAGUGAGUUUUGCCGGUUUUUUCGGCUGGCUUUAAAUUCUGUCAUGACCAGGGAUGCGGAUCCUAUAAAAAGCGUAAUAGCUGACCUACUUUUGUGAGCAUCUUUCGCUGGCAAGGACCGUCUUCAAAGUGGUGAUUGCAGGAGAAAACCAGAACAUGAUUUGUUCUGAACUUGAUCUGAAAUCAGGUAGGACUACCCGCUGAACUUAA
RNAcentral lists this unclassified non-coding RNA (305 nucleotides) under uncultured fungus. Its description in RNAcentral is "sequence contains ITS2". Lineage: Eukaryota; Fungi. The record is from RNAcentral.